UGGCUCAGUUGGUAGAGCAUGGUGUUUGCAACGCCAGGGUUGUGGGUUCAAUUCUCAC
Molecule: non-coding RNA, 58 nt
Organism: Salmo salar (Atlantic salmon)
Lineage: Eukaryota; Metazoa; Chordata; Actinopteri; Salmoniformes; Salmonidae
Source: Rfam